CCUACGGGUGGCAGCAGUGAGGAAUAUUGGUCAAUGGCCGUAAGGCUGAACCAGCCAAGUCGCGUGAAGGAAGAAGGAUCUAUGGUUUGUAAACUUCUUUUAUAGGGGAAUAAAGGUAUCCACGUGUGGAAAUUUGCAUGUACCCUAUGAAUAAGCAUCGGCUAACUCCGUGCCAGCAGCCGCGGUAAUACGGAGGAUGCGAGCGUUAUCCGGAUUUAUUGGGUUUAAAGGGUGCGUAGGUUGUUUUUUAAGUCAGCGGUGAAAGUUUGGGGCUCAACCAUAAAAUUGCAGUUGAAACUGGCAGACUUGAGUGUGUUUGAGGUAGGCGGAAUGCGUGGUGUAGCGGUGAAAUGCAUAGAUAUCACGAAGAACUCCGAUUGCGAAGGCAGCUUACUAGGCCAUAACUGACACUGAAGCACGAAAGCGUGGGGAUCAAACAGGAUUAGAUACCCUAGUAGUC
This 460-nucleotide ribosomal RNA is filed under the name uncultured bacterium. RNAcentral's name for it is "partial 16S ribosomal RNA". It matches the Rfam family "Bacterial small subunit ribosomal RNA", at positions 338 to 795 of the family's 1533-position model. The record is from RNAcentral.